UUUUUUUCCUUUUGCAGUAUUUGCUGUGUCUCUUAGCAAUCCAAAGAGAACAUAGGUGUUAUCAGGAAAUGGAUGAAUCAGUACUCUCUAGAGACAGAAUUCAAUUGAAGAAAAUUCCAAGAUCUGGAGAACAGCUAUCAGUGAGCAUAAACAAUACUGCAGUGAGAAGAGGGAGCUGGGAUUGCUCAAGGCUCACGUGAAUACAGGAGAAGUUGGCUUCAGUGACAUCUGUUAUAGGAACAAAACUAUGAAUUUCAGCCAUUGCUUGCAGCACCUGGGCUUCCUGUAGAUGGGGUGCCUUAAAAUCUGGCUGAGACAGACCCUACUGUGUUAUCACAUCACUAUAGAGAGCAGGUUGCCAAAACCACAUGUGGAGCUGUGGGCACAAUGGUGAUGAAUGGCAGAUGGAGAACCUCUUUUCAAGUGCAUUUGGAGCAUGGACACUGUCUUGAAGAAAAAGAAAACAGAGAGAAGUACAAAGAGAGCUUGAAGAGCCCUGUGCUCCCAAAGGGCUGCCUGCCCCUCCUUUUAGCAGCUUUUGAGAACUGUGAAAGGAAAACUGGAACUGAGGUUAACUGGAAUUGUUACUGGCUUUGGACUGGAGAAAUACGCUUGCUGUGUGUAAUUCAAGACCUUUACCAGAUGGCAACUCUUCAGCUGGUAUGGAUUAAGAAAGGAUGUUUUCUUGAAUUGAUUACAGCCUGGUGGAGCUGCUGGGGUUUAGGAAGUACAGCUGCAGUGGAGAGUAACCAGAAUGCAACCAUUGUCUGGCAAUGUAAUGGGCACCAACACAUUUAUUGAAGGCAGUACAGAC
Manacus vitellinus (golden-collared manakin) is the source of this 814-nucleotide long non-coding RNA. The record is from Ensembl. NCBI's taxonomy places the organism in Eukaryota, Metazoa, Chordata, Aves, Passeriformes, Pipridae.